GACAAACGCUGGCGGCGUGCAUAACACAUGCAAGUCGAACGGUCUCAUUAAGGUGAGAUAGUGGCGGACGGGUGAGUAACACGUAGAUAACCUGCCCAAUAGUGGGGAAUAACUCCUCGAAAGAGGAGCUAAUACCGCAUAAGCUCUCUCUUGUGAGAGGGAGAGGAAAGCUCUUUAUUUCGCAAGAAAUAGGGGCGCUGAAGGAGGGGUCGUGCGGCGGAUUAGUCAGUAGGGUGGGGUAAAGGACUUACCUAGGCGACGAUCCGUAGCUGGUCUGAGAGGACGACCAGCCACACUGGGACGUGAGAUACGG
Molecule: ribosomal RNA, 313 nt
Filed under: uncultured bacterium
Lineage: Bacteria
Description: bacterial SSU rRNA
Rfam family: Bacterial small subunit ribosomal RNA
Source: RNAcentral